This 508-nucleotide ribosomal RNA is filed under the name uncultured bacterium. RNAcentral's name for it is "partial 16S ribosomal RNA". It matches the Rfam family "Bacterial small subunit ribosomal RNA", at positions 30 to 523 of the family's 1533-position model. The record is from RNAcentral.
AUUGAACGCUGGCGGCAUGCCUAACACAUGCGAGUCGAACGGCAGCAUGAAUAUGGGUAACCAUAUUUGAUGGCGAGUGGCGGACGGGUGAGUAAUAUGUAGGAAUCUACCUAGAGGAGGGGGAUAACUUGGGGAAACCCAAGCUAAUACCACAUAAGACCUACGGGGGAAAGCAGGGGAUCGAAAGACCUUGCGCCUUAUGAUGAGCCUACAUCGGAUUAGCUAGUUAGUGGGGUAAAGGCCUACCAAGGCGACGAUCCGUAGCUGGUCUGAGAGGAUGAUCAGCCACACUGGUACUGAGACACGGCCCAGACUCCUACGGGAGGCAGCAGUGGGGAAUAUUGGACAAUGGGCGAAAGCCUGAUCCAGCAAUGCCGCGUGUGUGAAGAAGGCCUUAGGGUUGUAAAGCACUUUCAGUAGGGAGGAAGGGUGUAAUGCUAAUAUCAUUGCACAUUGACGUUACCUACAGAAGAAGCACCGGCUAACUCUGUGCCAGCAGCCGCGGUAA